RNAcentral lists this ribosomal RNA (253 nucleotides) under uncultured bacterium. RNAcentral describes it as "partial 16S ribosomal RNA". It matches the Rfam family "Bacterial small subunit ribosomal RNA", at positions 524 to 776 of the family's 1533-position model. The record is from RNAcentral.
UACGAAGGUUGCAAGCGUUACUCGGAAUUACUGGGCGUAAAGCGUGCGUAGGCGGUUCGUUAAGUCUGACGUGAAAUCCCCGGGCUCAACCUGGGACGUGCGUUGGAAACUGGCGAUCUAGAGUACGGUAGAGGGUGGUGGAAUUCCCGGUGUAGCAGUGAAAUGCGUAGAGAUCGGGAGGAACACUCGUGGCGAAGGCGGCCACCUGGACCAGUACUGACGCUGAGGCACGAAAGCGUGGGGAGCAAACAGG